This 305-nucleotide ribosomal RNA is filed under the name uncultured bacterium. RNAcentral describes it as "bacterial SSU rRNA". It matches the Rfam family "Bacterial small subunit ribosomal RNA", at positions 337 to 658 of the family's 1533-position model. The record is from RNAcentral.
UCCUCGGAGGCAGCAGUGGGGAAUAUUGGGCAAUGGGCGCAAGCCUGACCCAGCAACGCCGCGUGAAGGAAGAAGGCUUUCGGGUUGUAAACUUCUUUUCUGAGGGACGAAGAAAGUGACGGUACCUCAGGAAUAAGCCACGGCUAACUACGUGCCAGCAGCCGCGGUAAUACGUAGGUGGCAAGCGUUAUCCGGAUUUAUUGGGUGUAAAGGGCGUGUAGGCGGGAAAGCAAGUCAGAUGUGAAAACUCAGGGCUCAACCCUGAGCCUGCAUUUGAAACUGUUUUUCUUGAGUGCUGGAGAGGC